RNAcentral lists this ribosomal RNA (497 nucleotides) under uncultured bacterium. RNAcentral describes it as "partial 16S ribosomal RNA". It matches the Rfam family "Bacterial small subunit ribosomal RNA", at positions 28 to 507 of the family's 1533-position model. The record is from RNAcentral.
GAUGAACGCUGGCGGCGUGCCUAAUACAUGCAAGUCGAGCGAACAGACGAGGAGCUUGCUCCUCUGACGUUAGCGGCGGACGGGUGAGUAACACGUGGAUAACCUACCUAUAAGACUGGGAUAACUUCGGGAAACCGGAGCUAAUACCGGAUAAUAUAUUGAACCGCAUGGUUCAAUAGUGAAAGACGGUUUUGCUGUCACUUAUAGAUGGAUCCGCGCCGCAUUAGCUAGUUGGUAAGGUAACGGCUUACCAAGGCAACGAUGCGUAGCCGACCUGAGAGGGUGAUCGGCCACCCCGGAACUGAGACACGGUCCAGACUCCUACGGGAGGCAGCAGUAGGGAAUCUUCCGCAAUGGGCGAAAGCUUGACGGAGCAACGCCGCGUGAGUGAUGAAGGUCUUCGGAUCGUAAAACUCUGUUAUUAGGGAAGAACAAAUGUGUAAGUAACUAUGCACGUCUUGACGGUACCUAAUCAGAAAGCCACGGCUAACUACGUG